AUUCUUUUCAAAUUACUUAAAGACACACUUCAGUUGACUGAAAGGCAGAGCAAAAAGGAAGUAUGGAGAAGUCGUGUCAAGAAAAGACCAGCAGGGAAUCUUAAACAGUGAAAACAGAAACACAUUAAUACUGUUCUCAAAAAUACAGGUUAUCACGUAACACACACUUUUAAUUUUUGCUUUUGAAUUACUUUAUAUGACAUAGGACAUGACAAAUAAUUUACAUAAUGUGAAACUAACAAAUAAUGACAUAAUAUAAUUGAAUAGAAUAAACAUUAUAGAGUAAAAGCAAAAAAAUUAAUACUAAUUCAUGUCUGUAUUUCAAGAGAGUGAAAAGACAGGAAUAAGGGAGCUGAGAGGUAUCAAAGUGAUAAACGCAUUGCCUUAAGUAUGUGACACAUUACAGAUAUUUUAUUUUUGACUUUGACAUUAAAAAAAUAAGUCAAAAUGCAUUGGGAAAACUUAUGGGUAAAUAUUGGAACUAAAAGCCGUUACGAUGCCUUCCAAAAUAGAAGGCAGAAGAAAAAAAAUAGACAAAAAUAACAUUAAAACAUUAAAAAGAGAAAUAUUAAAAUAUGACAGAAAUAAGACCACCUAUAUAACUUUUUUUUUUUUUUUUGAAACAGAGUCUUACUCUGUUGCCCAGGCUGGAGUGCAGUGGUGGGAUCUCGGCUCACUGCAACCUCCACCUCCCGGGUUCAAGCGAUUCUCCUGCCUCAGCCUCUUGAGUAGCUGGGACUACAGGCGCCCGCCACCACGCCUGGCUAAUUUUUGUAUUUUUAGUAGAGACGGGGUUUCACCACGUUGGUCAGGCUGGUCUCGAUCUCUUGACCUCGCGAUCCACUCGCCUCAGCCUCCCAAAGUGCUGGGAUUACAGGCCUGAGCCACUGCGCCUGGCAGACCACCUAUAUUACUUUUAACCACAAAUGAAAUAGAUGACUUCUUAGAAAAACAUAAAAGCAGAGCUGUCUCAAAAACCAACAGAAUAUCUUCAUAGCCUGAAAACCGUAAAGAAAGCAGAUAAUGUGGUUACCACUGUCUCUCCAGUGAACUCUGGGUCACACACUUUUGGUUAAUUUAAAACACUAUAAAUUAUUCCAGAAUAUAUUAAAAGGUAGAAAAUUUUACAAGUUAUUUUACCGAGGUAGGAUAACCGUAAAUCUGACUAUGACAGUGUGUAAAAACUAUAGAGCAAUCUCAUUUAUAAAUACAAAUGUAAAAUCCUCUGCAAUGGUAUAUUAAAUACCCUCUGCAAUGGUACAUUAAAUACCCUCUGCAAUGGUAUAUUAAAUCUAUAACAAACAAAAAUAAACUCCACAGAAAUUUAGAAAUCAACUUAGUUUGUUUUUCAUAGUGAUCUGAGUGUUAAAAUUCUGUUAACUUUUAUUGUUGUACCUGGGGAUUGAGCAAGUGAGUAAAUAAUACUGUUGGAGAAGGGAGACACCAAUACAGAACCGAGGAAGACAAGGAAGAAGCCUGUGGGGUAGGAUGGGAUGGGAUGGGAAUUAGAGGUGUAUCAUACAUAUAAAUCAUGUAUCAAGGAAAAUUUCCUGCCCUGGGAUUAGGGGGAACUAGCAACAUGUGCUUGACUGGAUUUCAGAAUUGCUAUAAAUGAGUGACUGCUGCUUCCUUUUUCCCCGUUUGAAUGGAAGUGUCUAUAGUAGUUGUUCAGUCCCUGUUUCAUCACUGACUGUUGGCAGCAGGGAAGAAACAAUUUUUCAGCUCACAGGCCUCUAGUUCAAGAGGAGGUGCACCCAAGGAGCUGCACCCAAUAAACCAUACCUGAGGAGCCUAUUUCUUUUGUUUUCUUUCCUUUUUUUUUUUUUUUUUUUGAGGCAGGGUCUCUGUUGUCCAGGCUGGAGUGCAGUGGUGCAUUCUUGGCUCACUGCGACCUCUGCCUCCCAGGCUCAUCCUUCCACCUCAGCCUCCUGAGUAGCUGGGACUACAGGUGUGUGCCACCUUGCCCAGCUAAUUAAAAAGAUUUUUUUUUUUUUUUUUUUGUAGAGAUGAGGUUUUGCCAUGUUACCCAGGCUGGUCUUCAACUCCUGGACUCAAGCGAUCCACCUGCCUCGGCCUCCUAAAGUGCUGGGAUUUCAGGUGUGAGCCACUGUGCCCAGCCCGAAGAAGCUUUAUCUGAUCUGAACCUGAUUUAGAUAAGGAGGUCCUGGACUUUGUUCCAAUGCUGCAGAGAGUGAGACUUCUGUGGGGAGAGGAGUGUCCUUUGCAUUUGGGAAAGAUGUGAACUACUGUGGCCAGAGGGUGAACUAUGGUAGAUUGCUUCUAAAGAUGGGAGCAGCAAUGUUUCUUCCCAAGCAACAUUCUCCUUUGAAAUGUGACUUUGCCACCCAUCGCAUCAAGAGGGUCUUAGAUACAUGAUGGCACUGUUGGCUUCCUGAAGACCUCUUCAUCCUGCAGAAGGUGCAACUCCACAGCAUCCUGAGAGGUUGGACACAAGGUGAGCAGAGGGCAAAGCCCCUGGAAAUGGCCACCAUUCCUGUGGCUGCCACUGUCUUCCCUCAGGAAGGAUGGGCUCAGCCAUGAGGGUGGGACACCUCCCAGAGUGUCCAAGAUCCCCACAUGGGGUCUCCAGCAUUGGCCCUUCCCUCGCAUCAGUGGUAGCGGCAGGCGGGCAGCCUGAGGAAGGUGGUGUCACUGUUAAGUGUGGGCUCUCUUUUCCCUGUCUGAGCUGCUGGGAGCACAAAGGAACCCUGCCUGCCAGGCUUGAGUGUCAGAAUCUGGGCUUUCACCUGCAGGGACCUCAGGCCUCCAUCAGCCAGGCUUGGAAAGAAUGAAUGGUGCCUCUCGGUGAAUUACUACAACCUGAAUCCUGUGACCCCACCUGUGAUGGCCCAAUGUUAUUGAAAUUACUGACUCCAUCCACUUAGCAAGUGGUAAAUACUCUGCAGGCAUAGAUUUGACUAAUGUGUUCUGUUCAGCGCCUAUUUCAACAGAUCUCAGCUGCAGGUUGCUUUCACCCCCGAAGGGACACAAUAGACCGUUAUCUGGCUACCACGGGGUACCUCGACAGUUCUGCCACCAUACACAAUCUUUGCAGGCAGGAUUUGAACUGCAUCUGACAUUCUCUAGGAGUACAGGUGUAACAUCACCCUGAAGACACCCUUCUUUCAGCAAAUUCAUUUGACACACUCAGGACAUUACUCACAAAGAACUCAUAGAAAAGGAUGGGGUUUGUGUUUCCACAUGGUGGGAUUAAACUAAAACAAAAAAGUAUGGGCCACUGCCCCAGGCAUAGUACAGGGAUCCACACCAAUUUCUGGCCAUUGUCUGGUCAGUUGAGGGAUGCUCCAUCCCUGACACUGUCAAAAAAUAAUUAUUGACCCUCUGAGUACUCACAGUGUUCUAAUAAACCUCCCAGCAUCCUUCAGGCCUCUUGAGUUCAAGGAAACACAUCCUUCAUUUGUAGAUUUUAGGUAAGCCCAUUUACGCUGUUACUUGCAAAAUAAGCCCACUUUGAAUGGGGCCCCUUCUAACAAAAGGUUCUAGAAUCUGUCAAAUUGCAAUACAGCAGACAUUAGUGCCCUCCUGAGUCUCAUUCACUGUGGAAGCUUUGGCAACC
This 3577-nucleotide long non-coding RNA is filed under the name Homo sapiens (human). Its description in RNAcentral is "PREDICTED lncRNA (TCONS_00155066)". The record is from RNAcentral. Lineage: Eukaryota; Metazoa; Chordata; Mammalia; Primates; Hominidae.